RNAcentral lists this ribosomal RNA (469 nucleotides) under uncultured bacterium. Its description in RNAcentral is "partial 16S ribosomal RNA". It matches the Rfam family "Bacterial small subunit ribosomal RNA", at positions 28 to 507 of the family's 1533-position model. The record is from RNAcentral.
GACGAACGCUGGCGGCGUGCUUAACACAUGCAAGUCGAACGGAAAGGCCCUGCUUGCAGGGUGCUCGAGUGGCGAACGGGUGAGUAACACGUGGGUGAUCUGCCCCUUACUUUGGGAUAAGCCUGGGAAACUGGGUCUAAUACUGGAUAGGACCAUGCUGUAGGUGGUGUGGUGGAAAGAUUAGUUUCGGUAAGGGAUGAGCUCGCGGCCUAUCAGCUUGUUGGUGGGGUAAUGGCCUACCAAGGCGUCGACGGGUAGCCGGCCUGAGAGGGUGGACGGCCACAUUGGGACUGAUAUACGGCCCAGACUCCUACGGGAGGCAGCAGUGGGGAAUAUUGCACAAUGGGCGCAAGCCUGAUGCAGCGACGCCGCGUGGGGGAUGACGGCCUUCGGGUUGUAAACUCCUUUCAGCCAUGACGAAGCCCUUGUGGUGACGGUAGUGGUAGAAGAAGCACCGGCUAACUACGUG